RNAcentral lists this small nuclear RNA (18 nucleotides) under Arabidopsis thaliana (thale cress). Its description in RNAcentral is "snRNA_04794". The record is from RNAcentral. Lineage: Eukaryota; Viridiplantae; Streptophyta; Magnoliopsida; Brassicales; Brassicaceae.
UUGGUUAGCCAUUGUUCG